GUUUAUUCUCAGGGCGGGGUGAAACUCCCCACCGGCGGUAAAUCAGCCAUGGCGCUGAAAGCCCGCGAGCGCUCCGGAGUGAUGUCCGGAGGUCAGCAGAUCCGGUGUAAUUCCGGGGCCGACGGUCAUAGUCCGGAUGGGAGAGAGUAACU
This is a regulatory RNA element of Shimwellia blattae, 152 nucleotides long. It matches the Rfam family "FMN riboswitch aptamer (RFN element)". From Rfam's summary of the family: The RFN element is a highly conserved domain that is found frequently in the 5'-untranslated regions of prokaryotic mRNAs that encode for flavin mononucleotide (FMN) biosynthesis and transport proteins. This element is a metabolite-dependent riboswitch that directly binds FMN in the absence of proteins. The record is from Rfam. Lineage: Bacteria; Pseudomonadati; Pseudomonadota; Gammaproteobacteria; Enterobacterales; Enterobacteriaceae.